GCAUAUCAAUAAGCGGAGGAAAAGAAACCAACAGGGAUUGCCCUAGUAACGGCGAGUGAAGCGGCAACAGCUCAAAUUUGAAAUCUGGCCCCAGGCCCGAGUUGUAAUUUGCAGAGGAUGCUUUUGGCGACGCGCCUUCCGAGUUCCCUGGAACGGGACGCCAUAGAGGGUGAGAGCCCCGUACGGUCGUGCGCCUAGCCUCUGUAAAGCUCCUUCGACGAGUCGAGUAGUUUGGGAAUGCUGCUCUAAAUGGGAGGUAUACGUCUUCUAAAGCUAAAUACCGGCCAGAGACCGAUAGCGCACAAGUAGAGUGAUCGAAAGAUGAAAAGCACUUUGAAAAGAGGGUUAAAUAGUACGUGAAAUUGCUGAAAGGGAAGCGCUCAUGACCAGACUUGGGCCGGUGAAUCAUCCAGCGUUCUCGCUGGUGCACUUUGCCGGUCCAGGCCAGCAUCAGUUCGCGCCGGGGGAUAAAGGCUUCGGGAAUGUGGCUCCUCCGGGAGUGUUAUAGCCCGUUGCGUAAUACCCUGGGGUGGASUGAGGUACGCGCUCCGCAAGGAUGCUGGCGUAAUGGUCAUCAGCGACCCGUCUUGAAACACGGACCAAGGAGUCGUCUUCGUAUGCGAGUGUUCGGGUGUCAAACCCUUACGCGUAAUGAAAGUGAACGUAGGAGAGAGCUUCGGCGCAUCUCCGACCGAUCCUGAUGUUCUCGGAUGGAUUUGAGUAAGAGCAUACGGGGCCGGACCCGAAAGAAGGUGAACUAUGCCUGUAUAGGGUGAAGCCAGAGGAAACUCUGGUGGAGGCUCGCAGCGGUUCUGACGUGCAAAUCGAUCGUCAAAUAUGGGCAUGGGGGCGAAAGACUAAUCGAACCUUCUAGUAGCUGGUUUCCGCC
This 889-nucleotide ribosomal RNA is filed under the name Amphichorda felina. RNAcentral's name for it is "LSU rRNA". It matches the Rfam family "Eukaryotic large subunit ribosomal RNA", at positions 38 to 962 of the family's 3401-position model. The record is from RNAcentral. Lineage: Eukaryota; Fungi; Ascomycota; Sordariomycetes; Hypocreales; Bionectriaceae.